UGCAUGACUCUUGGCAACGGAUAUCUUGGCUCUUGCAUCGAUGAAGAACGUAGUGAAAUAUGUUACUUGGUGUGAAUUGCAGAAUCUUGUGAACCAUUGAGUCUUUGAAUGCAAGUUGCGCUCAAUGGCUAUGAGGCUAAAGGCACUCCUGCCUGGGCAUCACG
Molecule: ribosomal RNA, 164 nt
Filed under: Galanthus ikariae
Lineage: Eukaryota; Viridiplantae; Streptophyta; Magnoliopsida; Asparagales; Amaryllidaceae
Description: 5.8S ribosomal RNA
Rfam family: 5.8S ribosomal RNA
About the family: 5.8S ribosomal RNA (5.8S rRNA) is a component of the large subunit of the eukaryotic ribosome. It is transcribed by RNA polymerase I as part of the 45S precursor that also contains 18S and 28S rRNA.
Source: RNAcentral